GGGCUAGUGGCGAAGUGGUCUAACGCUUCGGUCUGCAAAACCGACAUUCCCCGGUUCAAAUCCGGGCUAGCCCU
RNAcentral lists this transfer RNA (74 nucleotides) under Drouetiella hepatica Uher 2000/2452. Its description in RNAcentral is "Leptolyngbya sp. Uher 2000/2452 tRNA". It matches the Rfam family "tRNA". Rfam says of the family: Transfer RNA (tRNA) molecules are approximately 80 nucleotides in length. Their secondary structure includes four short double-helical elements and three loops (D, anti-codon, and T loops). RNAcentral also lists the same sequence under 5 other names. Lineage: Bacteria; Bacillati; Cyanobacteriota; Cyanophyceae; Oculatellales; Oculatellaceae. The record is from Rfam by way of RNAcentral.